RNAcentral lists this ribosomal RNA (795 nucleotides) under uncultured bacterium. RNAcentral describes it as "bacterial SSU rRNA". It matches the Rfam family "Bacterial small subunit ribosomal RNA", at positions 8 to 796 of the family's 1533-position model. The record is from RNAcentral.
AGAGUUUGAUCAUGGCUCAGGAUGAACGCUAGCGGCAGGCUUAAUACAUGCAAGUCGAGGGGCAGCAUGGUGUAGCAAUACACUGAUGGCGACCGGCAAACGGGUGCGGAACACGUACACAACCUUCCUUUAAGCGGGGAAUAGCCCAGAGAAAUUUGGAUUAAUACCCCAUAGUAUAUUGAAAGGGCAUCUUUUUAAUAUUAAAGAUUUAUCACUUAAAGAUGGGUGUGCGGCUGAUUAGGUAGUUGGCGGGGUAACGGCCCACCAAGCCUUCGAUCAGUAACUGGUGUGAGAGCACGACCAGUCACACGGGCACUGAGACACGGGCCCGACUCCUACGGGAGGCAGCAGUAAGGAAUAUUGGUCAAUGGACGAAAGUCUGAACCAGCCAUGCCGCGUGGAGGAUGAAGGUCCUCUGGAUUGUAAACUUCUUUUAUCUGGGAAGAAACCCACGAAUUCUUUUGUGGUUGACGGUACCAGGUGAAUAAGCACCGGCUAACUCCGUGCCAGCAGCCGCGGUAAUACGGAGGGUGCAAGCGUUAUCCGGAUUCACUGGGUUUAAAGGGUGCGUAGGUGGAUUGCCAAGUCCGUGGUGAAAUCUCUGGGCUUAACCCAGAAACUGCCGUGGAUACUGGUAGUCUUGAAUGCCGUGGAGGUAAGCGGAAUAUGUCAUGUAGCGGUGAAAUGCAUAGAUAUGACAUAGAACACCAAUAGCGAAGGCAGCUUACUACACGGUGAUUGACGCUGAGGCACGAAAGCGUGGGGAGCAAACAGGAUUAGAUACCCUAGUAGUCC